UUUAAGUAUACUUGUGAGUUUCCGUGUCCAAUAUAUCCGUCAUAUUUAAAAUUUGUUUAUGAUUAACAUUUUUGUUAUUAUUAGAUGAUAAAACAUAAAUAGUACACUUUAUGCGUGACUUAUUUUUUAAUUUUCUUCAUAUUUUUUUAAAUAAAAUGAACGGUCAAACGUUGUACAUGAAAAUCCAGAACUGCACUUAAA
Oryza glaberrima (African rice) is the source of this 201-nucleotide non-coding RNA. NCBI's taxonomy places the organism in Eukaryota, Viridiplantae, Streptophyta, Magnoliopsida, Poales, Poaceae. The record is from Rfam.